UGGGGAAUUUUGGACUAUGGGGGAAACCCUGAUCCAGCCAUCCCACGUGUGCGAUGAAUGCCUUCUGGUUGUAAAGCACUUUUCGCAGGAAAGAAACGUCAUGGGCUAAUACCCCGUGAAACUGACGGUACCUGCAGAAUAAGCACCGGCUAACUACGUGCCAGCAGCCGCGGUAAUACGUAGGGUGCAAGCGUUAAUCGGAAUUACUGGGCGUAAAGCGUGCGCAGGCGGUUUGGAAAGAAAGAUGUGAAAUCCCAGAGCUCAACUUUGGAACUGCAUUUUUAACUACCGGGCUAGAGUGUGUCAGAGGGAGGUGGAAUUCCGCGUGUAGCAAUGAAAUGCGUAGAUAUGCGGAGGAACACCGAUGGCGAAGGCAGCCUCCUGGGAUAACACUGACGCUCAUGCACGAAAGCGUGGGGAGCAAACAAG
Molecule: ribosomal RNA, 429 nt
Filed under: Acidobacteriota bacterium
Lineage: Bacteria; Pseudomonadati; Acidobacteriota
Description: Acidobacteria bacterium partial 16S ribosomal RNA
Rfam family: Bacterial small subunit ribosomal RNA
Source: RNAcentral